UACGGAGGGGGCAAGCGUUGCUCGGAAUUAUUGGGCGUAAAGGGCAGGUAGGUGGUCUCAUUUGUCUGGGGUGAAAGCCUUGGGCUUAACUCAAGAAGUGCCCCGGAAACGGUGAGACUGGAGUCCUGGAGAGGGUCGUGGAAUUCCCGGUGUAGCGGUGAAAUGCGUAGAGAUCGGGAGGAACACCAGAGGCGAAGGCGGCGACCUGGACAGGUAUUGACAAUCAACUGCGAAAGCGUGGGGAGCAAACAGG
Molecule: ribosomal RNA, 253 nt
Filed under: uncultured bacterium
Lineage: Bacteria
Description: partial 16S ribosomal RNA
Rfam family: Bacterial small subunit ribosomal RNA
Source: RNAcentral